CGGGCAGGAGCGAGACCGCGCAGACCGCAUCUUCCCCGCGAACCCUAGCCGCGUCCUCGUCUCCUCCUCCAUCCACGCGCCUCGGCGGCGACCCUAUGGAGGGCGGCCGGGUCGGAGCGGUCCCCGCGUCCCUCCUUCCCCGCUCGGCGCUCUCUACUCCCAGCACAGCUGCCGCCUCCCUCCACUCUUCCCAUCUCGCUAGAGCCGCCGCAUCCGGAGGCGACCGGCGUUGCUCCAUCUCGACCUGCCCGUAACCUUCUCUCCCCGCAGCGGGCGGAGAAGAUGGAGAGGAGCUCGUCCGCCCACCUUCCACCAUGGUUUGCAGCGGUCGGAGAAGAUGGAGAGGCCGAACUGCGGCUGCCUCGUGCGCGCUCUCCUGCAUCUCGCGCGGGAGCGAGUGGUGGUGACUAGCAUAGAAGGCGGAGGAGGUCAUUGGGGCCGGCUUCCCUUCCGUUUUGGCUGCCAAGCUCCACGCGUUGGUGUUUGAUGAAAGUUCAGUAAGGCUGUGAGGGAAUACCAAACGAGAGAGGAUCCAGUAUCUGUUACAUGCAUCAGAUAUAGAUUGCAGUCAAGACACCUGCUCCCUCGUCAUCGACGGAAGGAGGAGAGCAGCAGCCACAACAGGCGACAGUGCUGGCGAAUGCGUCAGACAUGAGUCGCUUCGGCUUCUUCCAGCGGCCCAGCCAUGACGCCCUCAAGCCGCCGAUAGCAGCGGCCCUCUCCCAAGCUACACUGCUCCUGAUCUUCGUCGCCCCACACCGUCGUACUAUGCACAGCUCAGCCUGGCCAUGAUGCUCUUAGCCCGCGGACGCUCACAGCGUAACCGACGGUGGCGACUCACUCCCAACCCGUGUUGCUCUCCAUCAGUGCUGACGGAUUAGUUUGUUUUACAGUGUGGGCACCAGGUCUCUGAGUAGUUUAAAUCUGAACGCAACACCAAGGCUGCCAGCCUGAGCAUUGCCGAAUAGUACAGCAAAGCAUUUUCUGAACUUGCUAAAAGCAAACAUGGAAGCUCUCCCUAAUUCAUCGAUUAAAGGUGGCUCACAUAGAUCGUUCUCUUACUGACUAAUUAAUUAGAUUAUGGAUUUUCUUUAUGUUAUUAUUACUGAUCUCAGAUGCUUAGUUUCCAAGUUUAUCUCAAAACUUCACCUUCUAUGAAUGCCCCCAGGUGGUGCAUAUCUAAAAGCUCUUUGUGCAUUCUUAAGAUUUUUGUAUAUGCAUUUGCGUGAAUUGAGCCCGGAUCUGAUAUGGUUUGGCUAUGUUCAUGGUUUUCUUUGGUCAUGUAUGAGUGGAAAAGGGAGGCAGGGGAGUUCCAGUUUGUGAGGACAGUGGCGACAUGGUUGACUGAAUGGCAAUAGGAAGAAGGCACAUCUCAUAUAAUUGUUUUAUUCAAGACAAGUCUACACUCUCUUAUGUCAAAUUUGCACAGAUUUCCCUGCCCUAGGCUAUUUCUAAGGGGGAGAGAAGAGUGUUAUUUUUUUGGGGGGAUUACAAAGAAUGGUAGCGCAUGAGGAGUAUUAGCCACGGAGGAGGGAGGAGACUGACAUGAGGAAAACAUAUUCUGGAUCGAUUUGGUUCUCAUGGUGGCAUCUUCCCUGCUUUCUCCUUUCUUUUUAUUUCCAACACUCUUUGGUACAGAGCGAUUAACAAACAACUGAACUGAAUAUUGCUUUUUCUCCUUUUCAGAUAAGUUAGUUUACAUUAGUUUUCUGUUUGCUUUCCGUAUGGAUCUAUAUAUGUUAUUUUUAUAUCCAGUUUUCUGGGUGCUUUUCAAAAAGGGGGAGACCCAUGGCCGAUAUAGUUGCAUUAAGGUGCAAUUUGAUAACUAAAUACAUAAUAUAAGUCCAUCAAAAUAUUACAUGCAUGUGUGCUGUUUGUGCUUGUAUACCUUCAAUCUGCUUUGUGGAAGGCUGUUUGUAUUAAACUUUAGUGCUCGGUUGUUCAUCAUAGUCCCAUUCCCUUGAUAAUUAAUAUUGAAGCAAUGAAAAAUAGGUGAAAUUGCAAGAAACUUGAAGAAGUGGAGGAACAUGACUCAGUCUGUCAUUGGGGACAUGUACUGUUACAGAUACACUCUGUAUUUCUACCUAUCGUUGGUGUGAUGUUUGAACAUUAAGUUGUCAUUUAAUUAUGGCAUUCCCUUCUGCUUUUGUUUAUGCUAUAACAAUAGCCGCAAACUAUCUUCGGGACGUAUGGCAGGUUUGCUGACAAUCUGAUUGCGUUGCAGGUUUGGUACUAAUUUCUCAAAAAAAAAUCAUGCUUUUGCAGCACCGUCCUGUUGAGCCAUGAGAUCUAAACCAAGGAAUCCAGAUAACAUCGACUAUGUUUAUAGAUCACUACAUGUUCCGUUGGAACAUUGUGAGGUCCUUUUUCCAGUUUGCUACUAAAUUCUCAAAAAAGAAACGUUCUUAUGCAUCACCAUCAUGUGGAACCACGAUACCUGAACCAAUGAACUCAGUGAACAUUUAUUAUAUUUAUUAUGGAUCAUUACAUGUUCUGCUGGAACAAGGUGAGAUCCUUUUCAGUAACAAGUUGAACGCGCGUCAUGCUUUUUUGAAUAUAACUGAAUAUCUAAAAUAGCCAUGGUGUAUUGGUGUAUAUAUUUUAAAAUGGCAAGCUUGCAUCUUGAUGUUUGAUUGCUAUGAACUUCCGUAUUAUAAAAUUACUAUAGAUUUCCUUUAGUUCUCCAAAAAGGACAAUUUGUUUGUUUGUUACGGUGCCAAUAGUAACAGAAGAUCAUGAUGAAGUUGAGUAUGUAGAAAUACUUUUUAAGGCGCCUCAUUAUUUGCUGCCAAUGACUGUUUUGCCCCAAUCUCUGGCUUUCCAAACAUAGCAUUGCUAUGCCUCCAACAUUCAUCGAUUGUCAAUUAUUCUCUUAUACAUGACAUUGAUGCCCUGUGUUUGGGUAAUAUGUAUAGAAUUAGUUCCGUUCUACAAGGACCGGAUAUUGUCACAUUGAUUAAGUAUAAUUUUUUCAAGCAUGCUAGAGUAUGGUGGCAUUUUAUAGGCCCUUGAGCUAUAAAAUUUUGUAUGCUCAGUUUCUUGAUCUGUAUUUGCCAUUUGAGCCAAAUUAUCUCAUCAGGGACGCAUCAACAUACAAACUCACCCUUCAGUUUACUUAUAACAUUUCUUUUUAUAUGGUGCAACAGCUUGAGAUAUAUGAAGAGAAUUUUUACAUGUCCAAUGCAGACUGUUUGUUUUCACUUUCUAAUCAAUGAAGUAUGUUUAAUUGAUAAAGUAAUUUUAAUUGAUGAAGUAGAUAUAGUUGUUGCAGCGGCACAAACUCGGUUGCGUCCGCUAUGACCCCAAUCUUCGGAUUAUUAUAAGUAGAGGUUGAUCGUGUAGGAGGUGAAGAUGCUCACGCCUAAAGCCAAACUUGACGCCGUCGACGCCACCAUCCGGGAGCUCAUUUAUAUUGGCUUCGAAUGGCUACCGUUGUAUUUUCUGUACUUUUGGUUGUGGUCGUAAUUGUUACCCUGUGCCUUUGCAAGAAUAACUGAAAAUGGUGAUUUCUAUUGACUGUAAACCGAGUACUUGUCUAAUUAUUGUUCAAGAAAAUAUAGUGAGUCGUGUUCUUGGUUGCUAAUAGUAUAGUACACCUAUGCGGAUCCUUCUGUCGGACCGUUGAAUGGAAAUAACUCAAAAGAAGAUAAUAGAGGUGUUGUCUCUAUGCAAUCGGUAACUGUCAGUUCAGUUACAAAGAACGACCAUCACAAAUAACUUUGAGAUGUCCAUUGGUAAAGGUCAGUUUGGAGUAGUCUAUUUUGGCUACUUGAAAGAUGGAACCCCAGUUGCAGUCAAAACACGCUUAGAAUCAUCAUCUCAUGGGGUUAAUGAGUUCUUGGCAGAGGUUAGCUUUCUUCCCGCUCAUCUCCUCUCCUCUUAUUCUUAUGCAUGUUUUAUUUUUCUCUUCCGUCUAGAUCAAAUCAAUUUUCCCAAAUAAUCUCUCCAUUUUGCCAAACACUCUGGUCACUUAUUGACAGAACUACUCUGAAUUGCAUUUCAGGCUCUACAUCUAAUAAGAGUUCAUCACAGGAACUUGGUCAAUCUGGUUAGCCACUACAAGGAUGGACACCACUCAACUCUUGUCUACGAGUAUAAAUUGCUAAUUUGCAUUGCUCUUUCGUGCAACAAGUGCGUUGAUACUUACAAACAACGAGGCAUGUGACUAUUUACUAUCACUGUUGUUUGGUAUUUGAACAUGUCUUUUCGAGGGGGAGAUGGGAACAGAUAGACUCAGUGAAAGUUGGCUGCACGUAAACUAUUGUGAUCAAGUUGGAAAAAAAUGUUUCCCCUCUUAACUGCUCCUGUUGGAGACUGGGGUCAGUAGUCACUGAAAUUUGCACACGCAUGGAGGAAUGAAUGAUGAUUCUCAAGUAACGAAGUUGUAGCCUUCACGACAAGAUAAAUGGAUGAUUUUGCAGCUCAAGUGUUGCUACAUGUUACAGAUAACUAUGGCAUUCCAUUUUAAUGAAUCUGCAUAUUGCUGUUGAGCACCGGAAGCGAGGGAGGGCAUGGCUGCACUAGAGGUUGUCCCAAGGCGAGGGCAGGGCAGAGACAUGCAACAAUGAGGGUUGCAACCGUAAUCAAUAUCUCAACAUCGAAUCAUUUCCUAUAGCCUUCCAGCAAAUUCAUUCUUAUUUUCUGAUUGGGUCAUGUUAGGCCAGCAAAGUAAACCUAGAAAAACUGAUUAGGCAAUGAUGUUUUUGUUUAAUUUUAGUGUUUGGUAUUUGUUUCAGAUAUGAAUAAUUCUGGUUAUGGUUUCUGCAUUGCAUAGUGAUGUUAUAAUGAGAUUAGAGAUAGUUGUCACGCAUCUCUUUUCACUACAAACACAUAUGCACUUGCUUUUCGAUCAUUAGUGCUCCCCUUUCUAUGCUAUUAAGCAUAUGGCCCUAAGAUGUUGCAUUUAGUUCUUCAAUUGAAUCAGUUGUGGAAAUAGGGACAAAAGAUGCCAAUCUUCUCUUGAAGACCACAACAUUGAUGCCUUUUGUUGAUCAUUGGUCUCUAAAUAUUCUUACGUGCAUGGUUUGAACGCUUGGAUCGCUCUUGCUCUUUGCGCCAUCAGCGCGACGGGUCAUCUAGCAUGAACGAAGGGCGAGUAUAUGCUUUUGCCUUCAAAUGCACUUCCAAGGGACUGUGCCUGAUCGUCUACUCAAUAUAAGCAAGUUGCAAGAGCCCCUUGUUAUAUAACUUAUCAUUAGUAUAGAUGCCUACUAAGACUUCUAUGUUUAUCAUCCUUUUGGAUCUUAUGUAAUCCCUUAAGACCAUUCUAUGCAUUUAAUUGUUGAUUAUUUGCUGCUUAGACUGUUGUGUGGUACGCUUUUGGAACAACCAUGAUGAAAGAACAUAUGCUUUCGCCUUCAAGUGCACAUCCAAAGGCCUCUGCAUGAUUGUCUAUCUAAUCUAAGCAGAUCACAAGAGUCCUUUGCUACAUGACUUAGUAUUACUACUAUGAAGAGUUGGCUCAGAGAAGUUGUUCUCAACGUCCAGCGAUACAUCUGUCUAACAUAUCUCUGGCUAUCUACAUGCCUUGCUCAUCACAUUGUAAAUGAUCAUCUGUCUAACAUAUCUCUGGCUAUAUACAUGCCUUGCUCAUCAUAUUGUAAAUGAUCGCCCGUAAGCUUCUUAGAAAACAUGUAUCAUGAGCAACCAUCUAUCUAUCAUCAGUCUGUACUUAUUUCCACAUGUUUCAUUUUGUGUUUACAUAUUUUAGUGCAUACUCUUCCAAUACUUGGCUUGCAUUCGGCCUUUGCGUCAUUGGCGCAACGGGUCAUCUAGUUAGUAUAAAGGCAGCAGUAUGGAACCAAUGUAUUCCCUGGUCUGACUUGAAUUGAUGGUCUAAUUUGACAUAUUUUGAAGCAACAAAGCAGUGAAUCUCCCUCAAAUUUCUACGCGCAACAAACCUUCAAAGUGGCAGGGCGGUGCGAUGCAGUUAACAAACUCCAAGACCGGCACCAAGAGGCGGCUGGACCGUGCGGGCUUGCAGACGACGGCGAGGACCACAUGGCGGCAGGGUCGUGGUGUUGCUGCGGACGGCGGCGAGGAGCGAGGGGCAGCAGGUCCAGCCGUGGUGUUGCUGACGGCGGCGAGGAGCGAGGGACGGCAAGGUCGUGCUACCCGGACGGCGGCGAACGGUGCCGGUCACAAUCUCGUCUCUCUCAUGAGCCCUGGCCAUUAUGUCAAGGAAGCUCAACUCCUCUUGUCCGUACAGGUAAAACUCAGCAGACCGUAUGCACACCUUGUUUUCCUGUAACAAACGAUUACCACGGUCAGAUGAGAUCUAAGGCAAGUCGGUGGUUAACUUUAUAAACUAACAUAUGUUGCAUCAUUAAAUAGAGAUACUUGAAGUCAUUGUUAGCUGGGAAGUGUGGCCUGUAGACAUAGAUUGUCGAAAAGGCAUGCUUUUGAACUAUUAAAGCACAACUCAAAGCAUGUCACAUUUUACAUAGUACCUCCUCAGCGAAGAGUUCCUCAAGAAACACUGUCGAUUUGCUUGCCUUCUGCCACCAUGGCUAAUGAAAUACUAACAAGUUCAUUUGACAGAAUGUAAUCGCUGAAUUUGGAGAUAGACACAAGGUUUAUUGUUCUCGA
Long non-coding RNA from Triticum aestivum (bread wheat), 6588 nucleotides. RefSeq lists it as uncharacterized. The transcript is spliced from 8 exons. The record is from RefSeq and is a predicted model, not a curated record. Lineage: Eukaryota; Viridiplantae; Streptophyta; Magnoliopsida; Poales; Poaceae.